CAAUAAGAAUAAUCACAAGAGAAAGAAGGUUAAGCUGGCUGUCCUGAAAUAUUAUAAGGUGGAUGAGAAUGGCAAAAUUAGUUGCCUUCGUCGAGAGUGACCUUCUGAUGAAUGUGGUGCUGAGGUGUUUAUGGCAAGCCACUUUGACAGACAUUAUUGUGGCAAAUGUUGUCUGACUUACUGCUUAACAAACCAGAAGACAAGUAAUUGUAUGAGUUAAUAAAAGACAUGAACUAACAACAACAACAACAACAAAAACAUUUUCUCUGUACAUCCAACUGCCUUCCUAUGUUAGGC
This 297-nucleotide long non-coding RNA is filed under the name Homo sapiens (human). Its description in RNAcentral is "HSALNT0336379". The record is from RNAcentral. Lineage: Eukaryota; Metazoa; Chordata; Mammalia; Primates; Hominidae.